UUCGCGUAGACCCCCACCCCUUCAAUUAGACUGAGAGCUCUUUGAGUUAAAGUAAAACUAAUGAUGCUCAUUUCCAGCAGCACACCACAGCAGUUUGGUCUCCAUUUCUGGCAUUCGGGAUUUGAUUUUGAUGAAACGGGCUCAAAUGUUUCGUUUUUGGUGACUGUAGACAAAACCAGGAAGGGAACAGGAGAAUGAGGAGCCGUGGCCUGCAGGGACCUGCUCCAACAUCUCAUAAACAGAAAAGAAUGCACUGUACAUCUGAGAUGAUCCAGUAUACUGGGAUGAAGGGCAGUUGUGCAGUUGCCACAGACAAGAUUAAAUCUGCCGCCAGUGAGACGGAUUUGUCACCAGUAGAGGCAGCAGACAGAGAUUCACCCCCAACUCAGAAGAAGAAAAUCUACUGGUGAUCAGAAAUGAACCCAUUUGUAAUUAAAGACUUUAAAAUCCAAAUGAAAUGUGUUCACCCUGGAAACAGUUACAGCCAGAAUACAACAAACUUAAAUUUGUGAGUUAAUAAACGAGAGGAUCUGUCACUACAGCAGCGACGAUAAGAGUCUGACAGAUUUGCACGCAAACACAUGACAGAAAAACAACAACAGAUCUUUUUGCUGAUCCUUUACAGGCCUGGGUCUUUAUAAGUAACAGAUCAGACAGAUGACAAGAGCAUCGGCAGCAGCAGCAUCUCCCACUGAUAGCUCAGAGUUCCCCUGGAGGGAAAUCCUCUUUGUUUGGGCGGUCCAAGCCGGCCGUGUCUUUCAACAGGAUAUCCCAACAGAAGGUGAGGUCAACUAUGAGCAAACUCUGCACAAAAGGAUCUGGAGCUGGAUUUAAUGUUUCACAAAGCACUGGUCAUAUUCUUUGAAGAUUUUGCCUCCUCCCUUCGUCAAGUCUGUGAGAGUUAAUUAAACAUUAGACAGCUUGGGGUCAAGCAUAGGCUCAAAGUAAAAAGGAAAAAAACUUUCCCAUAAAAGCAUCCCAUAAUCUUGCCUUAAUAUCGUUUCAUUUUUUUCUCCCCUUUUUUUUGCAAUAAGAAGUGUUAUUGAAGCAGUGUUAUUGAAAUUCAUAUAUUAAAAAAAUAAAAAGUGACGAGGUGCUUUAUAAAGAAGAAGCUACAUCCAAUGCUCAGCUGGAGCUCUAAAGAUGACUUGCAUUUGUUUAUUUUAAGGAAAAGUGAUCCCUUAAAGAGAUUUAAAAGAAGGCACAAAGUAAUUUUAAAGUUUUUUACAGCUUUUCAAAUAAAAUGCAGUUUCUAGAUGUUUUGUGUACUAACAACAGAACAAAAUUUUAAAAACCAAAACAAAAAUUUACUGAAACAGUAAAUGUUUUAAAAAGUUUAGAACCUAUUUUUCCUCUAUAGAUAUUUCAGCUCUGAACGUAUCCUUAAACUCGUCUGAGUGCUACUUUGAUAUCCAAAAAUAAAUGCUCAGUAUCAUGUAAUAUAAUAAAGUUAAAGAAAGGUGGUUGUAGCUCAGGGCUAGAGCGGGUCAUCUACUGAUCGAAGGUUGGUGGUUCGAUGAUAGAUUAGAAAAGUGCUAUAUAAGAAUCAGUCCAUUUACCAUUUCUAAUAAAUUGCUGCUCCUUGGUUACACACUCUUUGCACUUGUAUUAUAAAUUGAUCUGCCAAAAAGGACAACACAUAUAAACGAAUUUCUAGAGUAAUAUGACUUACUUGAAACCUGAUGGCCCGAAGCUGAACUUUAACCUUUGAGUUCAUGCAAGAAACUCCCACUUGGUUAUUUCAGGCCUUCAGUGUCAGCUGGCCAUUCAAGCUGAAUUUGUCCCCUGCAACUUAUAUGACCUUUCAACUCCUCUCAGGCUCUGAAUUUCUGCUUACAGUAAUCUUCCACUUUCAGCCCUUUUAUUUAAUCUGAUACUUCAGUCUUUAUAUUUUAAUCACAACGGUUUUCAAGUAUUUCUGAUAUUUCAACUGAAAAACUAGCAGUAUAUUAGUAAAUUAAUCACUUUUUCUGACAGCUGAAACUUCUGAUGCAUUUUAACUGCCUUUAAUUCUGGCUCUUCAGCUGUCACCUCAAACCCUUUCAAUUGUUAGGUUUUGACCUUUGAAUAUCUGUGAAUUGAAAAUAUAUUGAAAUAAAGUUCUGCAUAGUUUAAUACAUCUUUCCAUUCAUAUCUUUGAUUUGUAGACAUUCAUUACUUGUCGUUACAUCCCACUCAACACUUAUACUAACAGCUUCUUUUGGUUCACACACUUUAAAUGGCUCGUAAUAAUUUCAUGAUUUCCACUUCAGUCACCUGGAAUUACGACACUUCAACACCUUCAGUGAACUUCAACCAAACCUACAACGACUUUCUGCACUUCAGCACAUCUAUAUUUAAUUUCUUCAACUUGUUUUAAACUAAAACUUCUAACCAGUACUUUGACAUUUUCAGUACUUUUUAAUUCAAGUGUCACUGUAAUGCCUGCUUUCAUGGCUUUACUGUUGUAACAAAUACCAAAGCUUCUCCAAACAUCUCAUUUCCAGCAGCAUUUGAAUUUUUUUGUUCAUUCCGAUAUGAAAGCCUAAAUUAAUAUUGGUAAAUGUUUGAGUGUUUGAACUCAAGUUAUUUUUCAUUUCCCUCUUGACUGAGUUUGGCAGGGCAUCAGUGGAAACGGAGCUGUUGGCUGCCCUUCCAUGUCUUCUGUUGUUGUUUUCUGGAGGCCUCAAUGGGAUGGGUAGUUUGUGAAAUGACAGGACAUGCCAACAAAUUGCAUCACUUCUGGCUCAGCGGCCAAGGACAAUGCCAUGCCAUAUGCCAAUUGGGGGGGUUACGGGUGGAGGGAUGAAUGGGUCUCAUUUCCAUGUGGUCCCUUCGAAGACUGACCCCCCCGACUCCACCCCUCCUGAAUCUGUGCUUCUCCAUACUCUCUGUUACCAACACACGUACACCCAAAAACCCAGUUGGGAGGUUGCCUUGGCCAGUGGUGUGACACAGACAUACGAGCUGACACAUCAGCCAUGAGCCAAAACAAAACAUCCAGAGAUUCAGUUCAAUACACGGGCAGGCCUGAGGAGCGUCAUUGUCCCCGCUUCUCGCUCUCCACCUGCAGACGACGGCGUGGGCAGAGCAACACAUAGAGUACUGUACACACUUACUGUUCACACAGAGGAUAUUGUUCUUGUUGUAUCAUCAGAAAAUAAUGUCGCAAAUCAGAAAUGUCAUUUGUUUUUUCCUGUAACAGCUCAACUCAGUUCUUAUAUAUGUAUGUAUAUAUAUGCAGGGUAAAGUAGAUACCCUGUAUCUGCUUUUUUAAUUCUACUUUAAAUCUACUUCCUAAUGUGAACGCACCUUAUAGUUGUUCUGCUUUGUGUAUGACAUACAUCAUAUUGUCUUUUAGUUCUUUAGUAAUAAUUUGGUAUUUACUUGAUACUUUAUUCAUCAUUUUGUGACUACUUUGUAUAAAAUUUCUAAUUUCUCUGUAUUAACUUUGUAUCUAUUUUGGAAUUCCCUGCUACUUUGUGUCCAUGUUGUACUUAAUAUAUGUGUGGAUGUUUUAUUAAUUUGUAUCUACACGUUUCCAGGCAUUUUCAAAGUACUCAAUAUUCUAUUUCUUUAAAACUUAAAAAGGUUUCACUUGCUUUAAAAAAUUGUUAUGUCUCAUAAAGUAUUCUACAUAAAUUGGAAAACUUUAUUAUACUUUAUUUUUUUUAUGCAAUUGUGAAGACUAUAUAUUUAAUUUUUUUUCCUUAAAAAAACUACUAUUUUAAAGGACCCAAAGUAAUUUUUCUUCUUACUUAUUACUGCCCCAGAUUAUCCAAUACUUACUCUGUAGCAGGGUAAAAAUCACUUUUCGGAAAGUUCACUCCUAAAUAUGUCUCUUUUCGGUGUCUUUGGGAUUGCAGAUUUAAAUAGUGCGAGGUAAUUUGUUCAGGGAGUGAGGAGCAGUGAUUUAGGAGCUGUUUUUGAGUUGACAUGAUACAAAUGAGGAUGGUGCUAGAAGGUCAAGCACCCUGCGCCAUCACCAUAAUCGUGCUAAUUGGGACAAUAUGUGCAUGAUAAAUCGCUACAGCCCAGUAACGGACCCUUUAAUCACUUCUUAAAGCAGCUUUAGAUCCACCGAGUUUGCUUCAAAAGGAACGUUUUCAGUAUUUCCAUUUUUAAAGGAGCAGAAAUUUUGUUGUUGGCCAUAUGCUCUGUGCUGCUGCUGCAGUGGGAGGGAGGGAGGACACUGUGAAAGGGUUUUAACCUUCCACUUUGGGGAAGUUGGAGUUAAUACUCCAGCCACCUCAUCACUGGGCCAGCGCCAAGUGUUGCUCGGCGCGUCUCUGGGAAGGGGGGUGAGGACGAGACCCCACAGAUGCUUUCUCUCGGUCCCCUCUACCUCGCAGCCAGAUGCCGAGAGGAUAAACUCCGGUAGCUUCAGGAUCACAACAUCAAGGUUGUGUCCAAAUCUGGAGCUUGUGAUAUUAGUCACAGAGAAGGCAUGAUGUAUGAUUGUGUUCUGCCUCAACAACAUCUGAAUCACAGCGCAAAACAACUGAAAUGACUAACACUGUAAUACAUGUACUUUAGGUAAUAAAACUACAGUGGCCUCUUCAGAGAAACAAAAACUACAAGAGAGUACUUUAGAGUACUUAGUAAAUAGUCUUAAAAAUGUUUCGAAUGCGACAUAGAUUUUGAU
Molecule: long non-coding RNA, 4624 nt
Organism: Oreochromis niloticus (Nile tilapia)
Lineage: Eukaryota; Metazoa; Chordata; Actinopteri; Cichliformes; Cichlidae
Exons: 3
Source: RefSeq, a predicted model, not a curated record